GUUGAUGUUGGUGCGGAUGCAGCGUUGGUGCAGUGGCUGGGUCGGCCGCAUGUUGUCACCCAUACUGAGGAAGAUCUGAGACGGCUGGUUUUGACUGAGGAGACGAAGAGACUGCAUCUGAAGAGAUAUUGGAAAGGUGGCUGUCUCAAGGCACGGUGGAAUAGUUAUCGACCCUUCAUAUGUGAUAAAACGGGAGGUUUCGGGAUACAGCUCCUCAAUAUCGAGCCCCAUCAAAGGCCUUUAUCAACCCCCCGGAGCCGUGUGGAGUAUGCGUUUAUGAUGGAUGGAUGCGGAUGGAGACACUUUCUUCAGCUCAUACUCGUUUGGUACUGCAUACUGCCAUUAUAAAGCUUGGAUGCGUCAGGAUAUUUAUUAAUAUUUAUCCGAUUGUGUUCAUCAGAAAGCAGAAAGUCAUAUACACCUAGGAUGGUUUGAGGGUGAGUAAAGCUUGGGCUAAUUUUCAUUUGAAAGUGAACUAAUCCUUUAAGCAACUGAACGCCAGUGGGCAGGGCCUAUAAUGCAAUGAUCUAUAUCUAUUCGUUGAUGUCUUACUCCAGAGGCAGUGAUUUCCCGAUGUUUUUGCCCGUGUGACGUCACAAAUCCCGCAAUAUCAAAACAAGCCAUUUUUGGAGCUUAAAAAAAAAAAAAUGCUUUGUUCAUAAUGAGAAGGACAUUAUAAGCUAUGAAGCUAUGUUUUUAUAUUAAGAACUUUCAGGAAAACAAGUCAUGCAUCUCAGUGCACCUUUAAGCAUAGGGGGUGACUGCAGUUUUUUAGUUCAAAUAAACCUACUCUGAAAAAAAUAGAUUAGUGGUUCAAUCCCAUUCUCCCUUUUCCCAGUAUGCACUGAGGCAUGAAUUAUUAAUAUGGUUUGACCAUAUGCCAGUUUUAUUUACACUGUUGUUGUUUAUUUUGUAAUCAUGCGUGUGAAGUCAAACAGAAGUCAAGCACUUCACUCACCAUGACAUGUUAAUAUCUCAUAAAAAACAAAACAAGUAAUAAAACAGAUUUCAUAGAGCUCUUUUGAAGUUAUGACUUCACAAAUCUUUUUUUUUUUUUUUUUUACAUAGUUAACAUAAGAACAGCACGUAAAAAUAAACUACAGUUAUCAAGUAAAUCUUUGGAUAUUUUUUCACUAUUACUACUUAAUGAAUCAGAAUCUUUUGCAGUGCACUUUGCAAGCACAGGAUGAAUAUGACAUGGCAAUACUGAUGAUUAAUAAUGAAGAGUUGACUUUGAAUAAAACAAUAAAAAGCUUUUAGUGGUUAUAUUUUAUUCUGGUUGUCAAUUAGAAUACCUUUUUCUAGCCUGGUGCACCAAGUCAAGGAUGCACAUUUUUGCCCAUGAGAAUUGUUGUCAGAAAAGUAUUUUUUAUUUAUUUUAUUUUUAUUUUAUUAAGCAACAUGAGCAACAUGGAUGCAUAAUGAAUGUAGUGGAUAUGAGACAAUGGUGGCCAAAUACUGCAGUCAGAUUUCUAUAUAUUUGCAUAACAUUUGAGAGGAAAAAAAACUGAUUAAAAAGUUAAUCUAAGAGCAAAUUCAAUUAGAUUAUUCCAUGUUAAGUAUUCAUUGUUAAUUAAAGUAACAUUACUUUAAAUAGGGCAUGCAAAAUUUCAAUGAAUAACAUUACUACAUUAUAUAAUGCUUAAAAAUAACAAAACAUUACAUUCAAGCUUGAACUUUUAUGGCAUGUUUGACCUGAUCUGUUGAGUGUACUGUACAUAAUGUUUGCUAAAGAUGAAGUUUAAGACUAGUUAAUGAAUAGUCUCCUUUCCACUGUAUACAUUUAGAGCAACUGAA
Long non-coding RNA from Ctenopharyngodon idella (grass carp), 1797 nucleotides. RefSeq lists it as uncharacterized. The record is from RefSeq and is a predicted model, not a curated record. NCBI's taxonomy places the organism in Eukaryota, Metazoa, Chordata, Actinopteri, Cypriniformes, Xenocyprididae. The transcript is spliced from 3 exons.